Molecule: ribosomal RNA, 253 nt
Filed under: uncultured bacterium
Lineage: Bacteria
Description: partial 16S ribosomal RNA
Rfam family: Bacterial small subunit ribosomal RNA
Source: RNAcentral
UACGUAGGUGGCAAGCGAUACUCGGAAUCACUCGGCGUAAAGCGCAGGUAGGAGGUUGGAUAAGUCUCUUGUGAAAGCUCCCGGCUUAACUGGGAGAGGUCAAGGGAAACUGUUCAGCUAGAGUGUGGUAGAGGAAGAUGGAAUUUCCGGUGUAGCGGUGAAAUGCGUAGAUAUCGGAAGGAACAUCAGUGGCGAAAGCGGCUUCCUGGACCAGUACCGACGUUCAGGCACGAAAGCGUGGGGAGCAAACAGG